RNAcentral lists this ribosomal RNA (252 nucleotides) under uncultured prokaryote. Its description in RNAcentral is "partial 16S rRNA". It matches the Rfam family "Archaeal small subunit ribosomal RNA", at positions 475 to 726 of the family's 1478-position model. The record is from RNAcentral.
ACCGGCGGCUCGAGUGGUGGCCACUAUUACUGGGCUUAAAGCGUUCGUAGCUGGUUUGUUAAGUCUCUGGGGAAAUCUUCCGGCUUAACCGGAAGGCGUCUCAGGGAUACUGGCAGACUAGGGACCGGGAGAGGUGAGGGGUACUCCAGGGAGAGGAGUCAAAACCUGUAAUCCGUGGGGGACCACGUGUGGCGAAGGCGCCUCCCCAGAACGGCUCCGACAGUGAGGGACGAAAGCUUGGGGAGCAAACCG